CUACAGAGGGUGCGAGCGUUAAUCGGAAUUACUGGGCGUAAAGCGCGCGUAGGCGGUCUAUUAAGUCAGAUGUGAAAUCCCCGGGCUCAACCUUGGAACUGCAUCUGAUACUGGUAGACUAGAGUUUUGGAGAGGGAAGUAGAAUUUCAGGUGUAGCGGUGAAAUGCAUAGAGAUCUGAAGGAAUACCAGUGGCGAAGGCGACUUCCUGGCCAAAAACUGACGCUGAGGUGCGAAAGCGUGGGUAGCAAACGGGAUUAGAAACCCGAGUAGUCC
This 274-nucleotide ribosomal RNA is filed under the name uncultured bacterium. RNAcentral's name for it is "partial 16S ribosomal RNA". It matches the Rfam family "Bacterial small subunit ribosomal RNA", at positions 523 to 796 of the family's 1533-position model. The record is from RNAcentral.